Triticum aestivum (bread wheat) is the source of this 71-nucleotide non-coding RNA. Lineage: Eukaryota; Viridiplantae; Streptophyta; Magnoliopsida; Poales; Poaceae. The record is from Rfam.
AUCCAUUAUUCAGUUGGUGGAAUACAAAGCUCUUAACCUUGUGGACGUGGGUUCAAGCCCCAUGGUGGAUA